ACACGGCCAAGGCAAGUGUAAAUGACUUCAUUGACCGUUGAGGCAUUUGUGCUGUACAAAGGUGUUAUCAUGCAAAGACGUGUCAUUACUAUAAUUUGCUGCAACAAGGAACAACGUGAACUACUUGACAAGCCUGGGUAUUGCAAUGGGUCCCUCUGUUCUCCAAUGUACGUCACUUCCGGUGAAAAAGCCACGAAAAAAAGCCAACUUUGAGGCCCGAAUAAACGAAUGCGUCAUCGAAGAAAGAAUGCGUCAACAGCGCGCCAUAAUUAAGCGUUCGACCGCAUCUGAAGCUUUACCUCGAAAGGUCGCAGAGAGUGUAACAAACGAAAACUGCUCACCGAGAAACAUUCUGCGAAAUGGUGCAACAUUGCUAAAGAAGCAAGAGAUCUUAGGUCUCGCCUACAGAAACAAACAUAUAUUACGCAGAGUUCCUUUUUCCUUGACAACAGUUGAUCUUUCAAGGACUUUAAUGAACUUAUAGUUCCAUUAAAAUGCUCAACCGCACGUUGGCUUUUGGAGACAUCAUCUACCUUAACAUCUGAAGGGAAGUCAUUGUAUCUUUUCCAACAAAUGG
Molecule: unclassified non-coding RNA, 577 nt
Filed under: Dendronephthya gigantea
Lineage: Eukaryota; Metazoa; Cnidaria; Anthozoa; Malacalcyonacea; Nephtheidae
Description: uncharacterized LOC114544917, transcript variant X3
Source: RNAcentral